This 307-nucleotide unclassified non-coding RNA is filed under the name plant metagenome. Its description in RNAcentral is "partial contains 5.8S ribosomal RNA, internal transcribed spacer 2, and large subunit ribosomal RNA". The stretch from base 1 to 105 matches the Rfam family "5.8S ribosomal RNA", at positions 50 to 154 of the family's 154-position model. The record is from RNAcentral.
GAAAUGCGAUAAGUAAUGUGAAUUGCAGAAUUCAGUGAAUCAUCGAAUCUUUGAACGCACAUUGCGCCCGCCAGCACUCUGGCGGGCAUGCCUGUUCGAGCGUCAUUUCAACCCUCAGAACCCCUUGCGGGAUCUGGCGUUGGGGAUUGGCAUCCAGCCAGCCCCGAAAUCUAGUGGCGGUCCCUCCGCGACCUCCCCUGUGCAGUAGCGAUACCUCGCAGCGGGACAGCGGUCUGACCACGCCGUAAAACCCCCAACUUCUCAAGGUUGACCUCGAAUCGGGUAGGACUACCCGCUGAACUUAAGC